This 65-nucleotide small RNA is filed under the name Myotis lucifugus (little brown bat). RNAcentral's name for it is "GRIK4 3 prime UTR element (ENSMLUG00000027870.1)". Lineage: Eukaryota; Metazoa; Chordata; Mammalia; Chiroptera; Vespertilionidae. The record is from RNAcentral.
UAGAGGCGGCAGAGUCAGGAACGGAGCCAAGGAGGCGGAGGCGGGAGGCGGGAGGGAAACCAGCA